This 617-nucleotide ribosomal RNA is filed under the name uncultured Brachybacterium sp. Its description in RNAcentral is "bacterial SSU rRNA". It matches the Rfam family "Bacterial small subunit ribosomal RNA", at positions 263 to 890 of the family's 1533-position model. Lineage: Bacteria; Bacillati; Actinomycetota; Actinomycetes; Micrococcales; Dermabacteraceae. The record is from RNAcentral.
ACGAUCUCAUGCGAUGACGGGUAGCCGGCCUGAGAGGGCGACCGGCCACACUGGGACUGAGACACGGCCCAGACUCCUACGGGAGGCAGCAGUGGGGAAUAUUGCACAAUGGGCGAAAGCCUGAUGCAGCGACGCCGCGUGGGGGAUGACGGCCUUUGGGUUGUAAACCCCUUUCAGUAGGGAAGAAGCGAAAGUGACGGUACCUGCAGAAGAAGCGCCGGCUAACUACGUGCCAGCAGCCGCGGUAAUACGUAGGGCGCAAGCGUUGUCCGGAAUUAUUGGGCGUAAAGAGCUCGUAGGUGGCUUGUCGCGUCUGCCGUGAAAACCCGAGGCUCAACCUCGGGCGUGCGGUGGGUACGGGCAGGCUAGAGUGUGGUAGGGGAGACUGGAACUCCUGGUGUAGCGGUGAAAUGCGUAGAUAUCAGGAAGAACACCGAUGGCGAAGGCAGGUCUCUGGGCCAUUACUGACACUGAGGAGCGAAAGCAUGGGUAGCGAACAGGAUUAGAUACCCUGGUAGUCCAUGCCGUAAACGUUGGGCACUAGAUGUGGGGGACAUUCCACGUUUUCCGCGUCGUAGCUAACGCAUUAAGUGCCCCGCCUGGGGAGUACGGACAAC